AGCUUGCUAAGGCCGAUGGCGACCGGCGCACGGGUGAGUAACACGUAUCCAACCUGCCGUCUACUCUUGGACAGCCUUCUGAAAGGAAGAUUAAUACAAGAUGGCAUCAUGAGUCCGCAUGUUCACAUGAUUAAAGGUAUUCCGGUAGACGAUGGGGAUGCGUUCCAUUAGAUAGUAGGCGGGGUAACGGCCCACCUAGUCUUCGAUGGAUAGGGGUUCUGAGAGGAAGGUCCCCCACAUUGGAACUGAGACACGGUCCAAACUCCUACGGGAGGCAGCAGUGAGGAAUAUUGGUCAAUGGGCGAGAGCCUGAACCAGCCAAGUAGCGUGAAGGAUGACUGCCCUAUGGGUUGUAAACUUCUUUUAUAAAGGAAUAAAGUCGGGUAUGGAUACCCGUUUGCAUGUACUUUAUGAAUAAGGAUCGGCUAACUCCGUGCCAGCAGCCGCGGUAAUACGGAGGAUCCGAGCGUUAUCCGGAUUUAUUGGGUUUAAAGGGAGCGUAGAUGGAUGUUUAAGUCAGUUGUGAAAGUUUGCGGCUCAACCGUAAAAUUGCAGUUGAUACUGGAUAUCUUGAGUGCAGUUGAGGCAGGCGGAAUUCGUGGUGUAGCGGUGAAAUGCUUAGAUAUCACGAAGAACUCCGAUUGCGAAGGCAGCCUGCUAA
RNAcentral lists this ribosomal RNA (661 nucleotides) under uncultured Bacteroidales bacterium. RNAcentral describes it as "bacterial SSU rRNA". It matches the Rfam family "Bacterial small subunit ribosomal RNA", at positions 74 to 732 of the family's 1533-position model. Lineage: Bacteria; Pseudomonadati; Bacteroidota; Bacteroidia; Bacteroidales. The record is from RNAcentral.